GGGGGUUUAUGCAAGUCGACGGAAGGCCUCUUCGGAGGUACUCGAGUGGCGAACGGGUGAGUAACACGUGGGCAAUCUGCCCUGCACUUCGGGAUAAGCCUGGGAAACUGGGUCUAAUACCGGAUAGGACCUCAAGACGCAUGUCUUCUGGUGGAAAGCUUUUGCGGUGUGGGAUGGGCCCGCGGCCUAUCAGCUUGUUGGUGGGGUGACGGCCUACCAAGGCGACGACGGGUAGCCGGCCUGAGAGGGUGUCCGGCCACACUGGGACUGAGAUACGGCCCAGACUCCUACGGGAGGCAGCAGUGGGGAAUAUUGCACAAUGGGCGCAAGCCUGAUGCAGCGACGCCGCGUGGGGGAUGACGGCCUUCGGGUUGUAAACCUCUUUCACCAUCGACGAAGGUCCGGGUUUUCUCGGAUUGACGGUAGGUGGAGAAGAAGCACCGGCCAACUACGUGCCAGCAGCCGCGGUAAUACGUAGGGUGCGAGCGUUGUCCGGAAUUACUGGGCGUAAAGAGCUCGUAGGUGGUUUGUCGCUUUGUUUCGUGAAA
Molecule: ribosomal RNA, 548 nt
Filed under: Mycobacterium avium
Lineage: Bacteria; Bacillati; Actinomycetota; Actinomycetes; Mycobacteriales; Mycobacteriaceae
Description: bacterial SSU rRNA
Rfam family: Bacterial small subunit ribosomal RNA
Source: RNAcentral